ACGAACGCUGGCGGCAUGCCUCACACAUGCAAGUCGAACGCGACCUUCGGGUCUAGUGGCGCACGGGUGCGUAACGCGUGGGAGCCUGCCCUUAGGUUCGGAAUAACUCCCCGAAAGGGGUGCUAAUACCGGAUAAUGUCUUCGGACCAAAGAUUUAUCGCCUUUGGAUGGGCCCGCGUUGGAUUAGCUAGUUGGUAGGGUAAAAGCCUACCAAGGCGACGAUCCAUAGCUGGUCUGAGAGGAUGAUCAGCCACACUGGGACUGAGACACGGCCCAGACUCCUACGGGAGGCAGCAGUGGGGAAUAUUGGACAAUGGGCGAAAGCCUGAUCCAGCAAUGCCGCGUGAGUGAUGAAGGCCUUAGGGUUGUAAAGCUCUUUUACCCGGGAUGAUAAUGACAGUACCGGGAGAAUAAGCUCCGGCUAACUCCGUG
This 432-nucleotide ribosomal RNA is filed under the name uncultured bacterium. RNAcentral describes it as "partial 16S ribosomal RNA". It matches the Rfam family "Bacterial small subunit ribosomal RNA", at positions 29 to 507 of the family's 1533-position model. The record is from RNAcentral.